Molecule: transfer RNA, 76 nt
Filed under: Alphaproteobacteria bacterium
Lineage: Bacteria; Pseudomonadati; Pseudomonadota; Alphaproteobacteria
Description: tRNA-Thr
Rfam family: tRNA
About the family: Transfer RNA (tRNA) molecules are approximately 80 nucleotides in length.
Source: RNAcentral
GCCGGCGUAGCUCAGUUGGUAGAGCAACUGAUUUGUAAUCAGUAGGUCCGCGGUUCGAGUCCGUGCGCCGGCACCA